RNAcentral lists this transfer RNA (73 nucleotides) under Neotoma lepida (desert woodrat). It matches the Rfam family "tRNA". Rfam says of the family: Transfer RNA (tRNA) molecules are approximately 80 nucleotides in length. Their secondary structure includes four short double-helical elements and three loops (D, anti-codon, and T loops). Further hydrogen bonds mediate the characteristic L-shaped molecular structure. tRNAs have two regions of fundamental functional importance: the anti-codon, which is responsible for specific mRNA codon recognition, and the 3' end, to which the tRNAs corresponding amino acid is attached (by aminoacyl-tRNA synthetases). tRNAs cope with the degeneracy of the genetic code in two manners: having more than one tRNA (with a specific anti-codon) for a particular amino acid; and 'wobble' base-pairing, i.e. permitting non-standard base-pairing at the 3rd anti-codon position. The record is from Rfam by way of RNAcentral. Lineage: Eukaryota; Metazoa; Chordata; Mammalia; Rodentia; Cricetidae.
GGUUCCAUAGCGUAAUGGUGAUCACAUCUAUUUUACAUGCCGAGGGUCCUAGGUUCGAGCCCCAGUGGAACCA